CGGGACGUGUGGGGUGUGUGCUGUGUGUCCGGACCGCGUCCGUGGUACCCGGGUGGCGUCCGGAGCUCCGUCCUGCUGCGGCAGCUCGGACUGCCCAGAGUAGACCGCUGCUCGGUUGGGAAGGCUUGCCCGUUCAUCUCCCUGCCCCCGGGCCCGCGCCGGCUGAACAUGAGCCCAGACGGGCAAGGAGGCCAAUAGCACAUGGGGUGUGUCAGCCACAGCGCGGCCAGCGGAACCAGGGCAGUCACCCCCCAGCUGUGGUGAGGCACCUCUGGUCCUGGGGCCAGUUCUUGGUGCUUCUCUACAAAAAAAGACAUUGCGGGGCAGGAGUAUGUCUGGAAAAGAGAAUGGAACUGUGGAAGGGUCUGGAGCACAAGGAGCAGCUGAGGGAGCUGGGAGGACUCAGCCUGGAGAAAGGGAGGGUUGAGAGGACUUUCUUGCUUUCCACAACCCUGUGGCAGGAGGAUGCAGUCGUGUGAAGGUCAGGCUCUGCUCCCAGGGAACAAAGGACAGGACAAGAGGCACUGGCUUCAAGUUGUUGCAGGGGAGGUUCAGGUUGGACGUCAGUAAGAAUCUCUGUGGAAAGGCUCAUCCAGCCCUGGCAGGACUGUCCAAAGUAGUGGUGGAGUCCCCAUCCCUGAAAGGGUUUAAAAGCUGUGUAGAUGUGGCACCUGGGGACGUAGUUUAGUGGUGGCCUUGGCAGUGGUGGGUGAGCAAUUGGUUUUAAUCCUCAGGGUCUUUUCCACUAAUUCCACGAUGGCAACAGUUAGAUCUGUGCUUGUUUCCAAGGUUUGAUCAGCUGAACACUGCCUUUGAGAGGUUUACAGGACAUCCUUGAAUGUCCUGACUUUGUCAAUGUGCUUGAGCAGAAGUCAUGCUUUCUGUGGCAGAAAGAUGAGCAAGGUAUGUAAACAAGUGCACUGCAACUUUUCUGCUUGGAAAGAGACCUUUCCGGGAUGAGAAUUCUGAUUUGGAAAUUGUUAGAUGCAUGCUCUCUGAGAAGGGCCAGCUGUGAAAAGGGGCAAAAUGGAUGUCUGGGAGCAUAAAGAUGAGUCACUGCCUGGAAGGGACAGACAUGACUGGAAAACAGUGAUCUAUUUUCCAAAGCCUUGUGCUGCUUCAGUCUUCUGCGCGUCAUGUCAAGUGUGCCAGAAAGUGACAGGCUUGAAGCCGCAAGGAGACUGCAAGAAAUCAAGGAGGUGGAGAAAGCCCACACACACUGAGGAGGGGCAGAUCUUGAAUAGAAGCCAGCUCGACAUUCCAUCUCCCAGGAAGUUCAGGGUGCCCUCACCGCCAGCUGGGACAUGGCCAUGGGAACCUGCUCAGCUGCUCCCACAGGGAGAGAAAGAGCCUCCUGAUGGCAGAAGCUCGGGGGAGGAUGGUGCAGGCAUGGAGAAAGGGAACUUCUUCAUUCAUCCUCAAGAGAGGAGGAGUAAUGUCGGUUUCUCGGCUGUUUAGGUGGCCUGGAAAGGCCCGGGGUGGCCUUGGACAGCCCGUGCUCCAAAGGACGAGAAGAAGCUUCAGAUCUUUUCUCGGUCUCGGUGUUUAUUAAUUGUUUAUCUAAAAGAUUUUCUCUCGGCCCGACAGAGUCUGCACAGCAGCCAGCCUUGAGCACACUGAGAGCCCCUGGGGCGGUCACCUAUCUUUAUACUCGAAAUUACAUAUACAAUAUUUAUCAAUUUUCCCCAAUACCUUUUACCCUUAUUAACCAGUGCACUUUUAGUAAGAACCAAUCCCAAAGUGCCAACACCACCACAGAAGAUGGAGGCCAAGAAGAAGAAGAAGAAGGACAGGACAGGACAGGACAGGACACACCCCAAUUCCUCCAUCUUACUUCUUUAGACCCCCCUGUACAGAAAUCCCAAACCCUGUGUUUCACUCUAACUAACUUAUCCCUUCACCAUUUACCCCAGUGAAAUCCUCCCAUCCUCAUACAGGUGUCGUCUCCCGUGCAGGAUCAAAGUGCAGCCACCAGACACUUCUGGCAACAUUCCAGGACUCCCGAGCCCCCCAAGGGUGGUCUCGGCCACUCUGCACAUCAGUCCUGCGGUGCUGAGAUCCCACAGAGUAAAAAGUAGCACCAGUUGCAACAUUGCAACAGGAGCCUCACUCUUGGCCAAUGAUUUCAAGUGCAUAUAGCUUCUGUACAGACCUGUUCAGUACUGGUCACCAAGCUUCCCAGCAUGACCUGCCAGUGACCAUCAAAGGCUGCAGAUAUCUCAGAAAAAGGUUGACCAUUAAACCUGACGUUUAUGAUUGAAACAAUAAAACCAUCAAACCAAA
Long non-coding RNA from Melospiza melodia melodia, 2283 nucleotides. RefSeq lists it as uncharacterized. The record is from RefSeq and is a predicted model, not a curated record. The transcript has 2 exons. Lineage: Eukaryota; Metazoa; Chordata; Aves; Passeriformes; Passerellidae.